ACACAGGAAUAGAAGUAAUAAGCAAAAAUAAAAUACACUAUAAUACAGGUCAGAAAAUAAAUUAAGUACCAGUAACCAACUAAAAUAGGCUAUUUUGAAAAGUCCAGUAGUGAGAGUGAAGCUGUAUGUUAUCUAUACAUCCACAGGCACAUUUAUUCAGAAUUUACACUGGUUCUUACUCUGCCUAGAGGCUUUUUCCAUGUAAAUCCAGUGUUUUCUUAUUUUGUUGACAUGAACAAAAUAAUAGUGUGCACAGAGCAGAAACAAACCACUAUCAACUUGUGGAGGUAAGGAGAUAAAACAAACAACAAUCUGCGCAGAGAAAAUACUGACAGCUGCUGAUUCCGAGGACAGACAGGAUGGUCAUUUAUCUGAAACAUGAUGCAUCAUUACUACAGCCAGGAGCUGCUCAAGAGAAAGCUGUCCAUGGUGGGAACAAUAAGGAAGAAUAAACCUGAGCUUCCACCUGCACUGCUUGCCACAAGAGACAGGGCUCGAUAUUCUACCAAGUUUGCAUUCUCUAAGACACAUACUCUUGCGUCCUCUUGUCCCAAAAAAGCCCCAAGUCAUCCUGGACUACAACCACAACAAAGGAGGCGUUGACAACCUUGACAAGGUUACAAGUGUGUAGGCAUGUAAAAACAGCCCAUUGGCCCCUGGUGGUCUUUUAUAACAUACUUGACGUGUCUGCCUACAAUUCAUUUGUACUGUGGACUGAGAUCAACCCGGCAUACAAUCAGGGGAAGUGUCAUAGGAGGAGGCUAUUCCUUGAGGAGCUUGGGAGAGAACUGGUGACACCUCUCAUCAAAAGACGCCAGGUUCUUCCCCGCAUGCCAGCCUCAGCUUGGUUGUGCCUCUGCAGCAGCUCCUAGUGGCCCAGCUGCUCCUCCUGAACGAUCAGCCACAAGGAAAAGGUGCCGAUUCUGCCAUGGCAAGAGUGAUCUCAAAACCAACAUCACACACUCGCACAUGCAUGCACAAACACAA
This is a long non-coding RNA of Siniperca chuatsi (mandarin fish), 987 nucleotides long. RefSeq lists it as uncharacterized. The transcript is spliced from 3 exons. The record is from RefSeq and is a predicted model, not a curated record. NCBI's taxonomy places the organism in Eukaryota, Metazoa, Chordata, Actinopteri, Centrarchiformes, Sinipercidae.